This 537-nucleotide ribosomal RNA is filed under the name uncultured bacterium. RNAcentral's name for it is "bacterial SSU rRNA". It matches the Rfam family "Bacterial small subunit ribosomal RNA", at positions 8 to 539 of the family's 1533-position model. The record is from RNAcentral.
AGAGUUUGAUCCUGGCUCAGGAUGAACGCUAGCGGCAGGCCUAAUACAUGCAAGCCGAACGGUAAGAUUGGUAGCAAUACUGAUCUGAGAGUGGCGUACGGGUGCGUAACACGUAUGCAACCUACCCGGAACUGGAGGAUAGCUCAGGGAAACUUGGAUUAACCCUCCAUAAGAUCGUGCUCAGGCAUCUGGGAGCGAUAAAAACCGCAAGGUGGUUUCGGAUGGGCAUGCGCAUGAUUAGUUAGUUGGUAGUGUAACGGACUACCAAGACGAUGAUCAUUAGGGGACCUGAGAGGGUGAUCCCCCACACUGGCACUGAGAUACGGGCCAGACUCCUACGGGAGGCAGCAGUAGGGAAUAUUGGUCAAUGGGUGCAAGCCUGAACCAGCCAUGCCGCGUGCAGGAAGACGGCCUUCUGGGUUGUAAACUGCUUUUGCCAGGGGAUAAAAGGCCCAUGCGUGGGACAUUGAAGGUACCUGGUGAAAUAAGCCACGGCUAACUACGUGCCAGCAGCCGCGGUCACCUACAAUCACUAGU